Molecule: long non-coding RNA, 1539 nt
Filed under: Bos taurus (domestic cattle)
Lineage: Eukaryota; Metazoa; Chordata; Mammalia; Artiodactyla; Bovidae
Description: long non-coding RNA NONBTAT002971
Source: RNAcentral
UGCAAUUAUUAUGUGUCCCUUUCUUGUAAAAUUUUGUACAGCCUAAAUGACUAAAAGAAAAAAAAAAUUCAGUUUUUGCUGAACUUUUUCAGAAUUGAGGGUUGUAAAUAUUGUCGAUUCUUUUUCUAUGUAAUGUGUCCUACUGUUUGAUAAUGCUGUAACUUGUAGGAAUGUUGUAUAUUUAUUUCUGGCUUAUUUAAUGUCUUAAAUUCUGCAAAGUGUUGACCUCCCUUUCCCCUCUGCCCCCUGCUGUCCUGUUAAUUGCUUUAACUCUUGAGGUGGAGACUGGUCAGCUCACGGCAGGCCACGUGGUCUCCCCAGGGUGGCCCUCCCCAGCUUUGGUUCCUGGUAUUUCUAGUCCAGUGGGUUUAAAUUCUUAGGGUUUGCUGUCCUCAUGAUGAGGUUUGUGUUUAGACAGCCUAAUGAAAGACCAGAAAUCUGAUAGGCUUUCAGAUUCUCCUCUAGAACUUUCCAGUGACUCUUUAAUUCCUGAACAGCUAGCUUCUCAUAGAAACAAGUGCUGUUAACUUCAGGCCAUAUCUUACAAAACAAAAUACUUAUUAUUAGCAGUGGGAAAGAUUUUUCCAUUGAAGAUUUAUCCCUGACAGCUCAGUGUUUAGAAAUACUCACAUGUCCACUUAGGCAGGUGCCACCAUGAGACUGUUGAAGGCAGAGACCAGGCAGACUGAAGGCCCGGGUUGACCAGUUGCCCUGCUUCCAAGUGACUACUGGGCCACCUCACACUACUAACCUUUGUUGGCAACUGAUGAUUAGUUGAAUUCCCCCACCCCCAACCGUGCUCUGUGGCUUCCUACGCUUUGAGGUGCAGACUCUACUAUGUAUCUUCAGGAACUAACUGUACAGGCCCGCGCCCCGCCCCCCAGCCUUGAACCAUUUGGUCCCAGCAUUUGAUCCACCUGUGUCUUCAGGGUGACGCCUUCUUCUGCUUCUCCAAAGCCUUCAAGCGAGGGUCUGGACCCCACUGGCCUGGGUGCAAAGAGGUGAGAGCGUGAAAGAUCUUCUAGCGGUUCUGUGUCGAUGGCUUUGUCAUCCCUGCUGAUUUAGCCUGGUGCCUGUGUGUGUCCAGUCUGUGCACGCACGUGUGCAGUGACCUGACCACAUGUGUCGCUAAACCAGCUGGGGUAACACCUGUCCUGCUCCAGACGGCAUCGUAUGUAAGAAGCACCCUCAAGCUCCCAGCUAAAUAACUUGACUACUUUGGUUUGGGAAUUUCAGACCUUAGAAGCUCUCUUUAAUUUGUGUGUCCAGGUUCUGUGACCGCUAGUUACUGUAUCAGAACUCAUCAGGUACUCGUUUAUAAAUAGCACUGAUCCGUCUGUAACUUUUUUCCUAGAACCCAGCAUAUGUAGCAUUUGUAUCGCAAUUUCCCUGGCUUGUGUUUUGCACUGAUGGAUUUUGACAGGGUAAUUGCCACUUUACUUGUGCAAUACUGCUGUAAAUAAUUGCAGAUUUUUUUUUUAAGAAACCCAAUCUUUUAUGUUCUUAAUGAAUUUUAUAUAAAUAAAACUUUCAACUAGU